RNAcentral lists this ribosomal RNA (360 nucleotides) under Clostridia bacterium. RNAcentral's name for it is "bacterial SSU rRNA". It matches the Rfam family "Bacterial small subunit ribosomal RNA", at positions 553 to 916 of the family's 1533-position model. Lineage: Bacteria; Bacillati; Bacillota; Clostridia. The record is from RNAcentral.
AUUGGGCUUAAAGGGUGCGUAGGCGGAUGAUUAAGUCAGAUGUGAAAUACCAGGGCUCAACCCUGGGGCUGCAUUUGAUACUGGUUAUCUAGAGUGCAGGAGAGGAGAGCGGUAUUCCUAGUGUAGCGGUGAAAUGCGUAGAGAUUAGGAAGAACACCAGUGGCGAAGGCGGCUCUCUGGACUGUAACUGACGCUGAGGCACGAAAGCGUGGGGAGCAAACAGGAUUAGAUACCCUGGUAGUCCACGCUGUAAACGAUGAGUGCUAGGUGUCGGGGGGAACCCUCGGUGCCGCAGCUAACGCAAUAAGCACUCCACCUGGGGAGUACGACCGCAAGGUUGAAACUCAAAUGAAUUGACGG